This 285-nucleotide ribosomal RNA is filed under the name uncultured prokaryote. RNAcentral describes it as "partial 16S ribosomal RNA". It matches the Rfam family "Bacterial small subunit ribosomal RNA", at positions 524 to 817 of the family's 1533-position model. The record is from RNAcentral.
UACGGAGGGGGUUAGCGUUGUUCGGAAUUACUGGGCGUAAAGCGCACGUAGGCGGAUCAGAAAGUUGGGGGUGAAAUCCCGGGGCUCAACCCCGGAACGGCCUCCAAAACUACCUGGUCUUGAGUUCGAGAGAGGUGAGUGGAAUUCCGAGUGUAGAGGUGAAAUUCGUAGAUAUUCGGAGGAACACCAGUGGCGAAGGCGGCUCACUGGCUCGAUACUGACGCUGAGGUGCGAAAGUGUGGGGAGCAAACAGGAUUAGAUACCCUGGUAGUCCCUGAGCGGGCU